Molecule: ribosomal RNA, 904 nt
Filed under: uncultured bacterium
Lineage: Bacteria
Description: bacterial SSU rRNA
Rfam family: Bacterial small subunit ribosomal RNA
Source: RNAcentral
CUGGAGCUGGGCGGCAGCUAACACAUGCAGUCGAACGGUAACAGGAUGUGCUUGCACAUCGCUGACGAGUGGCGGACGGGUGAGUAAUGCUUGGGAACUUGCCUUUGCGAGGGGGAUAACAGUUGGAAACGACUGCUAAUACCGCAUAAUGUUUUCGAACCAAACGGGGCUUCGGCUCCGGCGCAAAGAGAGGCCCAAGUGAGAUUAGCUAGUUGGUAAGGUAACGGCUUACCAAGGCGACGAUCUCUAGCUGUUCUGAGAGGAAGAUCAGCCACACUGGGACUGAGACACGGCCCAGACUCCUACGGGAGGCAGCAGUGGGGAAUAUUGCACAAUGGGGGAAACCCUGAUGCAGCCAUGCCGCGUGUGUGAAGAAGGCCUUCGGGUCGUAAAGCACUUUCAGUUGUGAGGAAAAGUUAGUAGUUAAUACCUGCUAGCCGUGACGUUAACAACAGAAGAAGCACCGGCUAACUCCGUGCCAGCAGCCGCGGUAAUACGGAGGGUGCGAGCGUUAAUCGGAAUUACUGGGCGUAAAGCGCACGCAGGCGGUUUGUUAAGCUAGAUGUGAAAGCCCCGGGCUCAACCUGGGAUGGUCAUUUAGAACUGGCAGACUAGAGUCUUGGAGAGGGGAGUGGAAUUCCAGGUGUAGCGGUGAAAUGCGUAGAUAUCUGGAGGAACAUCAGUGGCGAAGGCGACUCCCUGGCCAAAGACUGACGCUCAUGUGCGAAAGUGUGGGUAGCGAACAGGAUUAGAUACCCUGGUAGUCCACACCGUAAACGCUGUCUACUAGCUGUGUGUGCCUUUAAAGCGUGCGUAGCGAAGCUAACGCGCUAAGUAGACCGCCUGGGGAGUACGGCCGCAAGGUUAAAACUCAAAUGAAUUGACGGAAGGGCGAAUUCUGCAG